Cordylochernes scorpioides is the source of this 64-nucleotide non-coding RNA. The record is from the annotation of a GenBank genome assembly. Lineage: Eukaryota; Metazoa; Arthropoda; Arachnida; Pseudoscorpiones; Chernetidae.
UGCAUCGGCCGGGAAUCGAACGCCCGCGUGGCAGGCGAGCAUUCUACCACUGAACCACCGAUGG